This 465-nucleotide ribosomal RNA is filed under the name uncultured bacterium. RNAcentral's name for it is "bacterial SSU rRNA". It matches the Rfam family "Bacterial small subunit ribosomal RNA", at positions 335 to 788 of the family's 1533-position model. The record is from RNAcentral.
ACUCCUACGGGAGGGCAGCAGUAGGGAAUCUUCCACAAUGGGCGCAAGCCUGAUGGAGCAACACCGCGUGAGUGAAGAAGGGUUUCGGCUCGUAAAGCUCUGUUGUUAAAGAAGAACACGUAUGAGAGUAACUGUUCAUACGUUGACGGUAUUUAACCAGAAAGUCACGGCUAACUACGUGCCAGCAGCCGCGGUAAUACGUAGGUGGCAAGCGUUAUCCGGAUUUAUUGGGCGUAAAGAGAGUGCAGGCGGUUUUCUAAGUCUGAUGUGAAAGCCUUCGGCUUAACCGGGAGAAGUGCAUCGGAAACUGGAUAACUUGAGUGCAGAAGAGGGUAGUGGAACUCCAUGUGUAGCGGUGGAAUGCGUAGAUAUAUGGAAGAACACCAGUGGCGAAGGCGGCUACCUGGUCUGCAACUGACGCUGAGACUCGAAAGCAUGGGGUAGCGAACAGGAUUAGAUACCCCU